Molecule: ribosomal RNA, 492 nt
Filed under: uncultured bacterium
Lineage: Bacteria
Description: partial 16S ribosomal RNA
Rfam family: Bacterial small subunit ribosomal RNA
Source: RNAcentral
AGUGAACGCUGGCGGUAGGCCUAACACAUGCAAGUCGAACGGCAGCACAGUAAGAGCUUGCUCUUACGGGUGGCGAGUGGCGGACGGGUGAGGAAUACAUCGGACUCUACUUUUUCGUGGGGGAUAACGUAGGGAAACUUACUCUAAUACCGCAUACGACCUACGGUUGAAAGCAGUGGAUCUUCGCACCUUGCGCGAUUGAAUGAGCCGCUGUCGGAUUAGCUAGUUGGCGGGGUAAAGGCCAACCCAGGCGACGAUCCGUAGCUGGUCUGAGAGGAUGAUCAGCCACACUGGAGCUGAGACACGGACCAGACUCCUACGGGAGGCAGCAGUGGGGAAUAUUGGGCAAUGGUCGCAAGCAUGAUCCAACCAGACCGAGUGGGUGAAGAAGGCGUUCGGGUUGUAAAGACGUUUUGUGGGGAAAGAAAAGCAGCAGGUUAAUACCCAGCGGUUCUGACGGUACCCAAAGAAUAAGCACCGGCUAACUUCGUG